This 1284-nucleotide ribosomal RNA is filed under the name marine metagenome. RNAcentral's name for it is "bacterial SSU rRNA". It matches the Rfam family "Bacterial small subunit ribosomal RNA", at positions 229 to 1520 of the family's 1533-position model. The record is from RNAcentral.
GCCUGCACUUGAUUAGUUUGUUGGUGGGGUAAUGGCCUACCAAGACGAUGAUCAAUAGCUGAUUUGAGAGGAUGAUCAGCCACAUUGGGACUGAGACACGGCCCAAACUCCUACGGGAGGCAGCAGUGGGGAAUAUUGGACAAUGGGGGCAACCCUGAUCCAGCAAUACCGCGUGUGUGAAGAAGGCCUUAGGGUUGUAAAGCACUUUCAAUUGUGAAGAAAAGUUAACGGUUAAUAACCGUUGACCUUGACGUUAACUUUAGAAGAAGCACCGGCUAACUCCGUGCCAGCAGCCGCGGUAAUACGGAGGGUGCGAGCGUUAUCCGGAAUUAUUGGGUUUAAAGGGUCCGUAGGUGGAUAAUUAAGUCAGAGGUGAAAUCCUGCAGCUUAACUGUAGAAUUGCCUUUGAUACUGGUUAUCUUGAGUUAUUAUGAAGUGAUUAGAAUGUGUAGUGUAGCGGUGAAAUGCAUAGAUAUUACACAGAAUACCAAUUGCGAAGGCAGGUCACUAAUAAUCAACUGACACUGAGGGACGAAAGCGUGGGUAGCGAACAGGAUUAGAUACCCUGGUAGUCCACGCCGUAAACGAUGGUCACUAGCUGUUUGGACUUCGGUCUGAGUGGCUAAGCGAAAGUGAUAAGUGACCCACCUGGGGAGUACGUUCGCAAGAAUGAAACUCAAAGGAAUUGACGGGGGCCCGCACAAGCGGUGGAGCAUGUGGUUUAAUUCGAUGAUACGCGAGGAACCUUACCAGGGCUUAAAUGUUUGGUGACAGAUCUAGAAAUAGGUUUUUCUUCGGACACUAAACAAGGUGCUGCAUGGUUGUCGUCAGCUCGUGCCGUGAGGUGUCAGGUUAAGUCCUAUAACGAGCGCAACCCCUGUUGUUAGUUGCCAGCGAGUAAUGUCGGGAACUCUAACAAGACUGCCAGUGCAAACUGUGAGGAAGGUGGGGAUGACGUCAAAUCAUCACGGCCCUUACGUCCUGGGCCACACACGUGCUACAAUGGCCGGUACAGAAAGCAGCCACUUUGCGAAAAGGAGCUAAUCUUCAAAGCCGGUCUCAGUUCGGAUCGCAGUCUGCAACUCGACUGCGUGAAGCUGGAAUCGCUAGUAAUCGCAUAUCAGCCAUGAUGCGGUGAAUACGUUCCCGGGCCUUGUACACACCGCCCGUCAAGCCAUGGAAGCUGGGGGUACCUGAAGUCGGUCACCGCAAGGAGCCGCCUAGGGUAAAACUGGUAACUAGGGCUAAGUCGUAACAAGGUAGCCGUACCGGAAGGUGCGGCUG